Molecule: transfer RNA, 72 nt
Filed under: Bos taurus (domestic cattle)
Lineage: Eukaryota; Metazoa; Chordata; Mammalia; Artiodactyla; Bovidae
Also listed under: 2 other names
Rfam family: tRNA
About the family: Transfer RNA (tRNA) molecules are approximately 80 nucleotides in length. Their secondary structure includes four short double-helical elements and three loops (D, anti-codon, and T loops). Further hydrogen bonds mediate the characteristic L-shaped molecular structure. tRNAs have two regions of fundamental functional importance: the anti-codon, which is responsible for specific mRNA codon recognition, and the 3' end, to which the tRNAs corresponding amino acid is attached (by aminoacyl-tRNA synthetases). tRNAs cope with the degeneracy of the genetic code in two manners: having more than one tRNA (with a specific anti-codon) for a particular amino acid; and 'wobble' base-pairing, i.e. permitting non-standard base-pairing at the 3rd anti-codon position.
Source: Rfam by way of RNAcentral
UUCCUGGUAGCUCAGUUGGCAAAGAAUCUGCCUGUAAUGCAAGAGAUCCAGGUUCAAUUCCUGGGUUGGAAA